UGGGGAAUUUUGGACAAUGGGCGCAAGCCUGAUCCAGCCAUGCCGCGUGAGUGAAGAAGGCCUUCGGGUUGUAAAGCUCUUUCAGUUGGGAAGAAACGAUUGCAACUAAUAAUUGUAAUUAAUGACGGUACCGACAGAAGAAGCACCGGCUAACUACGUGCCAGCAGCCGCGGUAAUACGUAGGGUGCGAGCGUUAAUCGGAAUUACUGGGCGUAAAGGGUGCGCAGGCGGUUUUGUAAGUCAGAUGUGAAAUCCCCGGGCUUAACCUGGGAAUGGCGUUUGAAACUGCAAGGCUAGAGUGUAGCAGAGGGGAGUGGAAUUCCGCGUGUAGCAGUGAAAUGCGUAGAUAUGCGGAGGAACACCGAUGGCGAAGGCAGCUCCCUGGGCUAAACGCUGACGCUC
This 402-nucleotide ribosomal RNA is filed under the name uncultured bacterium. RNAcentral's name for it is "bacterial SSU rRNA". It matches the Rfam family "Bacterial small subunit ribosomal RNA", at positions 355 to 748 of the family's 1533-position model. The record is from RNAcentral.